AAGUCGUAACAAGGUUUCCGUAGGUGAACCUGCGGAAGGAUCAUUACAGAGUUCAUGCCCCUCGGGGUAGACCUCCCACCCUAUGUAUACCUUACCUUUGUUGCUUUGGCGGGCCGCCAUUUGGCCACCGGCUCCGGUCGGUGCGCGCCCGCCGGAGAACCCCAACUCUGUUUUUAUCAUGUUGUCUGAGCACUAUUUAAUAGUUAAAACUUUCAACAACGGAUCUCUUGGUUCUG
RNAcentral lists this unclassified non-coding RNA (236 nucleotides) under fungal sp. RNAcentral's name for it is "partial internal transcribed spacer region". The stretch from base 1 to 46 matches the Rfam family "Eukaryotic small subunit ribosomal RNA", at positions 1786 to 1831 of the family's 1831-position model. The record is from RNAcentral. Lineage: Eukaryota; Fungi.